Thalassophryne amazonica is the source of this 441-nucleotide long non-coding RNA. RefSeq lists it as uncharacterized. The record is from RefSeq and is a predicted model, not a curated record. The transcript is spliced from 3 exons. NCBI's taxonomy places the organism in Eukaryota, Metazoa, Chordata, Actinopteri, Batrachoidiformes, Batrachoididae.
UUUUCUGUAGCGACUCAGCAACCCCGAACGACGUUCCUGAACAGCUUAACAGAGCCGACCCAGUGCAGACCUGUCCUUCAGUCAAACCUUCAGGGGGGUGCAGGCAGCUGUUGAUGCCUGAGGAUAGAUCCCUACCUGCGUUCUUUGCCAGGAGACGUCGAGCAGUUCCCGGAGAAGGAGACCUGCUGACCAGCACCCAAACGACCUCCAGAUCCAGACCUGCAUCAUUCAAUUAGUCGACCUCGUUUAGCACAUUCAUCACAGCUGAACUGGUAUUAACUCACAUACAGAGGGAUACUGAUUUUUCAUUGUUUUUCAAUAUGUCAGAGGACAGUCAAGAUAGGUCACCCGAAUCAGGAGUGAAUCCUUAUCUCACCACCUUAAUUUCAGAAAUAAAUGAUACGUGUCAGCCUGGAGAUCCCCUACGAGUCACCAGAGAGA